GGGCUAGGUAUUAGGGGAAGGUAGUAGGGGCUAGGUAGUAGGGGCUAGGUAUUAGGGAAGAUAUUAGGGGAUGGUAUUAUGGCCUAGAUAUUAGGGGAAGGUAUUAGGGGCCAUGUAUUAGUGGAAGGUAUUAGGGACUAGGUAUUAGUGGAAGGUAUUAGGGGCUAGAUAUUAGGGGAAGGUAUUAGGGGAAGGUAUUAGGGGAUACGUAUUAGGGGAAGGUAUUAGGGGCUAGGUAUUAGGGGAAGCUAUUAGGGGCUAGGUAUUAGGGAAAGAUAUUUGGGGCUAGGUAUUAGGGGCUAAGUCUUAGAGGCUAGGUAUUAGGGGAAGAUAUUAAGGGCUAGGUAUUAGUGGCUAGGAUUUAGGGGCGAAGUAUACCUCGGCAUGCUAGAGCAGCUGUAAGUUCUAUGGCAGAAUCUCAUUACCAUCCUAACAGCUUGCAGAUUCAUUUGCAUUUUUCCGUGAG
This is a long non-coding RNA of Oncorhynchus tshawytscha (Chinook salmon), 466 nucleotides long. The record is from Ensembl. Lineage: Eukaryota; Metazoa; Chordata; Actinopteri; Salmoniformes; Salmonidae.